RNAcentral lists this long non-coding RNA (285 nucleotides) under Carica papaya (papaya). Its description in RNAcentral is "long non-coding RNA (CPAP_LNC012243)". Lineage: Eukaryota; Viridiplantae; Streptophyta; Magnoliopsida; Brassicales; Caricaceae. The record is from RNAcentral.
CCGACUAUCACCACUAUCGGCGAUCAACAUACUUUUUCUAGGUAGCGACAACCAAUAUUGGCAUCCCCUAAUGCUACCAACUCAACACAAUGUCAUCCUGUCCGUGCAUAAGACAUGCACUAACACUUCACACACUCACACCUGUAACGUUCCCUUGCCAACUCUCACAUUUAUAGCAGCUAUACCAACCCAUAUACAGCUUAUACUCUCACACCACACAGCUACACCACUCAUCCCCUCUCCCUACACAGAGAACCCCCACACCUCUAUUCCGACACUACAUUC